CGUGUAGGCGGUUGGUCAAGUCUGGUGUGAAAGCCCGGGGCCGUCAGCUCCGGAAGUGCAUCGGAAACUAGCCAACUGGAGCGCGAUAGAGGAGGGUGGAAUUCCUGGUGUAGCGGUGAAAUGCGUAGAUAUCAGGAGGAACACCGGCGGCGAAGGCGGCCCUCUGGAUCGUUGCUGACGCUGAGACGCGAAAGCGUGGGGAGCAAACAGGAUUAGAUACCCUGGUAGUCCACGCUGUAAACUAUGGGUACUAGGUGUUCGGGGUGUUGACCCCCUGAGUGCCGCAGCUAACGCAUUAAGUACCCCGCCUGGGGACUACGGCCGCAAGGUUAAA
Molecule: ribosomal RNA, 334 nt
Filed under: uncultured bacterium
Lineage: Bacteria
Description: bacterial SSU rRNA
Rfam family: Bacterial small subunit ribosomal RNA
Source: RNAcentral